This 521-nucleotide ribosomal RNA is filed under the name uncultured beta proteobacterium. RNAcentral describes it as "bacterial SSU rRNA". It matches the Rfam family "Bacterial small subunit ribosomal RNA", at positions 8 to 524 of the family's 1533-position model. The record is from RNAcentral. Lineage: Bacteria; Pseudomonadati; Pseudomonadota; Betaproteobacteria.
AGAGUUUGAUUAUGGCUCAGAUUGAACGCUGGCGGCAUGCCUUACACAUGCAAGUCGAACGGCAGCACGGGAGCAAUCCUGGUGGCGAGUGGCGAACGGGUGAGUAAUACAUCGGAACGUGCCCAGUUGUGGGGGAUAGCCCGGCGAAAGCCGGAUUAAUACCGCAUACGACCUACGGGUGAAAGCGGGGGAUCGCAAGACCUCGCGCUAUUGGAGCGGCCGAUGUCGGAUUAGCUAGUUGGUGGGGUAAAGGCCUACCAAGGCUACGAUCCGUAGCUGGUCUGAGAGGACGACCAGCCACACUGGGACUGAGACACGGCCCAGACUCCUACGGGAGGCAGCAGUGGGGAAUUUUGGACAAUGGGCGCAAGCCUGAUCCAGCCAUGCCGCGUGCGGGAAGAAGGCCUUCGGGUUGUAAACCGCUUUUGUCAGGGAAGAAACGGUCUGAACUAAUACUUCAGACUAAUGACGGUACCUGAAGAAUAAGCACCGGCUAACUACGUGCCAGCAGCCGCGGUAAU